This 814-nucleotide ribosomal RNA is filed under the name uncultured organism. RNAcentral's name for it is "SSU rRNA". It matches the Rfam family "Bacterial small subunit ribosomal RNA", at positions 28 to 811 of the family's 1533-position model. The record is from RNAcentral.
GACGAACGCUGGCGGCGUGCCUAAUACAUGCAAGUCGAGCGCGGGAAGCUUGCGGAAUCCUUCGGGAGGAAGUGAGCGGACCGAGCGGCGGACGGGUGAGUAACACGUGGGCAACCUGCCCGUAAGACGGGGAUAACCCCGGGAAACCGGGGCUAAUACCGGAUAGGUGACCUUUCUGCAUGGAGGGGUCAUGAAAGGCGGCGGAAGCCGUCGCUUACGGAGGGGCCCGCGGCGCAUUAGCUAGUUGGUGAGGGAAGGGCUCACCAAGGCGACGAUGCGUAGCCGGCCUGAGAGGGUGAACGGCCACACUGGGACUGAGACACGGCCCAGACUCCUACGGGAGGCAGCAGUAGGGAAUCUUCCGCAAUGGACGGAAGUCUGACGGAGCAACGCCGCGUGAGUGAGGAAGGCCUUCGGGUCGUAAAGCUCUGUUGUUCGUGAAGAAGGGGUUGGCCAGGAAAUGGGCCGACAUUGACGGUAGCGAACCAGAAAGCCCCGGCUAACUACGUGCCAGCAGCCGCGGUAACACGUAGGGGGCAAGCGUUGUCCGGAAUGAUUGGGCGUAAAGGGCGCGCAGGCGGCCUCUUAAGUCUGAUGUGAAAGCCCAUGGCUCAACCGUGGAGGGACAUUGGAAACUGGGGGGCUUGAGUGCAGGAGAGGGGAGUGGAAUUCCACGUGUAGCGGUGAAAUGCGUAGAGAUGUGGAGGAACACCAGUGGCGAAGGCGGCUCUCUGGCCUGUGACUGACGCUGAGGCGCGAAAGCGUGGGGAGCGAACAGGAUUAGAUACCCUGGUAGUCCACGCCGUAAACGAUG